RNAcentral lists this ribosomal RNA (253 nucleotides) under uncultured bacterium. RNAcentral describes it as "partial 16S ribosomal RNA". It matches the Rfam family "Bacterial small subunit ribosomal RNA", at positions 524 to 776 of the family's 1533-position model. The record is from RNAcentral.
UACGUAGGGUGCGAGCGUUGUCCGGAAUUAUUGGGCGUAAAGGGCUCGUAGGCGGUUUGUCACGUCGGGAGUGAAAACUCAGGGCUUAACCCUGAGCCUGCUUUCGAUACGGGCAGACUGGAGGUAUGCAGGGGAGAACGGAAUUCCUGGUGUAGCGGUGAAAUGCGCAGAUAUCAGGAGGAACACCGGUGGCGAAGGCGGUUCUCUGGGCAUGUCCUGACGCUGAGGAGCGAAAGUGUGGGGAGCGAACAGG